CAGCCGCGGUAAGACAGAGGAGGCUAGCGUUGUUCGGAAUCACUGGGCUUAAAGCGGGUGUAGGCGGCCCUGCAAGUACUUUGUGAAAUACUCCGGCUCACCCGGAGAACUGCUGAGUAUACUGCAGGGCUUGAGGCAGGUAGGGGUCACUGGAACUCUAGGUGGAGCGGUGAAAUGCGUAGAUAUCUAGAGGAACGCCUAAGGCGAAAGCAGGUGACUGGGCCUGUCCUGACGCUGAGAUCCGAAAGCGUGGGGAGCAAACGGGAUUAGAUACCCCGGUAGUCCACGCCCUAAACGAUGCGCACUAGACUCGAGUGUCUCUGACGACUCUCGGGUCGAAGUCAAAAUGUUAAGUGCGCCGCCUGGGGAGUACGGCCGCAAGGCUAAAACUCAAAGGAAUUGACGGGGGCUCACACAAGCGGUGGAGCAUGUGGCUCAAUUCGAAGCAACGCGAAGAACCUUACCCGGGUUUGACAUGCUAGGAUUAGUUCCAUGAAAGUGGAAUGACGCGGCUUGCCGUGGAACUAGCACAGGUGCUGCAUGGCUGUCGUCAGCUCGUGUCGUGAGAUGUCGGGUUAAGUCCCAUAACGAGCGAAACCCUUGUCGUUAGUUGCCAGCGGGUCAUGCCGGGAACUCUAACGAGACUGCCGGUGUUAAACCGGAGGAAGGCGAGGACGACGUCAAGUCAUCAUGGCCUUUAUGCCCGGGGUUGCACACGUGCUACAAUGGGUUGUUACAGAGCGAUCCGAAACCGCGAGGUUGAGGAAAUCGCAGAAAACUGCCCUCAGUUCAGAUUGCAGCUGCAACCCGCCUGCAUGAAGUUGGAAUCGCUAGUAAUCGCGUAUCAGCAACGACGCGGUGAAUGUGUUCCUGAGCUUGU
This 880-nucleotide ribosomal RNA is filed under the name uncultured Planctomycetota bacterium. RNAcentral describes it as "bacterial SSU rRNA". It matches the Rfam family "Bacterial small subunit ribosomal RNA", at positions 512 to 1384 of the family's 1533-position model. Lineage: Bacteria; Pseudomonadati; Planctomycetota. The record is from RNAcentral.